Molecule: ribosomal RNA, 253 nt
Filed under: uncultured bacterium
Lineage: Bacteria
Description: partial 16S ribosomal RNA
Rfam family: Bacterial small subunit ribosomal RNA
Source: RNAcentral
UACGUAGGGUGCAAGCGUUGUCCGGAAUUAUUGGGCGUAAAGAGCUCGUAGGCGGUUUGUUGCGUCGGCUGUGAAAUCCCGAGGCUCAACCUCGGGUCUGCAGUCGAUACGAGCAAACUAGAGUGUUGCAGGGGAGACUGGAAUUCCUGGUGUAGCGGUGAAAUGCGCAGAUAUCAGGAGGAACACCGGUGGCGAAGGCGGGUCUCUGGGCAUCAUCUGACGCUGAGGCGCGAAAGCGUGGGUAGCAAACAGG